This 253-nucleotide ribosomal RNA is filed under the name uncultured bacterium. Its description in RNAcentral is "partial 16S ribosomal RNA". It matches the Rfam family "Bacterial small subunit ribosomal RNA", at positions 524 to 776 of the family's 1533-position model. The record is from RNAcentral.
UACGUAGGUGACCAGCGUUGUCCGGAUUUACUGGGCGUAAAGAGCGCGCAGGCGGUCGUUCAAGUCGAGUGUGAAAGCCCCCGGCUCAACUGGGGAGGGUCACUUGAUACUGAUCGACUCGAAGGCAGGAGAGGGAAGCGGAAUUCCCGGUGUAGUGGUGAAAUGCGUAGAUAUCGGGAGGAACACCAGUGGCGAAGGCGGUUGCCUGGAGCUUUGCUGACGCUGAUGCGCGAAAGCGUGGGGAGCGAUCCGG